AGGAACAUGUGGUUUAAUUCGAUGAUACGCGAGGAACCUUACCUGGGCUAGAACGCAAUCGGAAUCAGGCCGAAAGGUCUGCGCCAGCGAUGGCCGCUUGCGAGGUGCUGCAUGGUUGUCGUCAGCUCGUGCCGUGAGGUGUCGGGUUAAGUCCCAUAACGAGCGCAACCCCUACUGCUAGUUGCCAGCGGGUCAUGCCGGGGACUCUAGCGGAACUGCCAGCGUAAGCUGCGAGGAAGGUGGGGAUGACGUCAAAUCAGCACGGCCCUUACGUCCAGGGCUACACACGUGUUACAAUGGCCAGUACAGAGGGCAGCCACCCCGCGAGGGGGCGCUAAUCCUAAAAGCUGGUCCCAGUUCGGAUCGGAGUCUGCAACCCGACUCCAUGAAGUUGGAAUCGCUAGUAAUCGUGGAUCAGCAUGCCACGGUGAAUACGUUCCCGGGCCUU
Molecule: ribosomal RNA, 448 nt
Filed under: uncultured Rikenellaceae bacterium
Lineage: Bacteria; Pseudomonadati; Bacteroidota; Bacteroidia; Bacteroidales; Rikenellaceae
Description: bacterial SSU rRNA
Rfam family: Bacterial small subunit ribosomal RNA
Source: RNAcentral